RNAcentral lists this transfer RNA (70 nucleotides) under Oceanicola sp. D3. Its description in RNAcentral is "tRNA-Phe". It matches the Rfam family "tRNA". From Rfam's summary of the family: Transfer RNA (tRNA) molecules are approximately 80 nucleotides in length. The record is from RNAcentral. Lineage: Bacteria; Pseudomonadati; Pseudomonadota; Alphaproteobacteria; Rhodobacterales; Roseobacteraceae.
CCGGGCAGCUCAGGGGGAGAGCAGUGGAUUGAAGAUCCUCGCGUCGGUGGUUCGAUUCCGCCCCGACCCA